AAUCAUGUGACCAGUCAAUACUACUAGCUCAACUGAGCUCAACAUCCCACCAGAGCGCAUUAUUAUAAAUGGAAGGAUUUUUGUUUAUGGUUGCAUCCAUCCGAGAGUGGUAGUCCGGGCUGCUGUUCCCUGGAUAACCAUCCGCACAACAGAGACGAAUCUGCUGAGAGACUGCCCCGUUAUUAGGCUACGGCAUCCACUGUGCCACCAUGGGCCUGGAAACAAGAGAUUUCUGAGAAGGAGCCUGUGAUUCAGGAUUUACUUUUCUAUCAGCCACCUUGACUUGGAGGGACCCUUCUCAUUCACCACGGGCCCUGCUGGCAGUCAAGUGAACAGGGAGAAACAAGAAGAUUUAAAAACACAAAGCCAGAUGCAUUUUGUGUCCCACAAUUGUAAUCCCAGCAUUUAGAAGGUAACUGCAGGCGGAUUUGAGUUGGAGGCCACUUGAGGCUACAAGAAAGAGAUAUGCCAAAACAAACAAAGAAACAAAUGACUUAACAAACAAACACAAGCUGAACCCAACAAAACCUACUAACCAACCAAAAAUCUAAGCGGGAGGAGUCAGCCAAAAUUAUGUUUUUUUAAGAAUGGACCAAAGCUUAUGGAGAACCAAAGGAUACAAAGAAAUGGUUGUGAGAAUCAACAGGGCACAUUCUGCUUUUGUGUUCCCGGUUAGGGUGGUAGUAUAGUAAUGAAGUAUUUAUUACUUGUGUUGGUUGUUGACUUGUAGUUUGUAUGUGACAGGUCCUGGGUUAAACAUUUUACACAUACUUUUUUUUUUCUUCUUCUGUUACUAAUUGUGACUCUGAAAAAUACUAUAGGAAAGGGAACUGAGGUGUAGAUGUCUUAAUGAACCUAGUGAAGGGCAUGCAGUUGGGAAGUGGAUGGCUAUAUCCAGAGUGCAUUUUCCAUACAUCUGCUGUGAGCAGCUCAAGUUGGCUUCUCUGCUGGAGAACAUUUCAACUGUAGCGAAAGAUUAAAGGGAUAUGUGAAGAUCUUUGAGAAGGGGUGGUGAGGUAAGAAUGAGCAUGUUAGAAAGAAAAGGAAUCACUAAAGAUUAAGGGAACUGGUAUUACCAGUGGUGUCAGGUAGCACCACGGAGAAAGACGCUCUCUGGGCAGGCAAGGGAUAGAUCUAGUCCCUCAGUACAUAUGUAACAGCUGUGCAGCUCAGUCUUCAUGUGGGACCCCUAACAGCAGGGGCAAGGGCUGUCUCUGACGCUAUUGCCUGCCUUUGGAUCCCUUUCCCCUAACUGGACUGCCUUGCCUAGCCUAGCCUAGC
RNAcentral lists this long non-coding RNA (1281 nucleotides) under Mus spicilegus (steppe mouse). Its description in RNAcentral is "lncRNA (ENSMSIG00000014234.1)". Lineage: Eukaryota; Metazoa; Chordata; Mammalia; Rodentia; Muridae. The record is from RNAcentral.